UUAUUCUAUUCUCAAAAUCGCAAAAGCAGACAACUGCAAAAGUUAACUAGAAAGUGUUGAUAUAAAAAGUCUAAUAACAAUAAUGACAAUAAUCAAGUGAAAGAAGCUUGAAAAACAGGAUAACAACUUUAAGCAACUAGUUAUUAUCAUUAAAGCGUAGGCUAACCAGCCUAUGUAUAUUUAAUCACUAUACAGUGCGUUAUGUCUAUUAUAUCGUAAUCGGAGUAAUUACUAGCGAUCUCCUGAGCUGCUUCCUGUUUCUUUCCUUGUGUAACGUGCUUGGUGGCGCAUCAGCAGUGCGCCGAGACAUGGCGCUUUCCGAUUGCCACUUGUGCAGAUCGAUACCGGGUCCGCAAAGUUGAAGAAGUGCGAAAAUGGGGUCGAUGUUUGGAUCGUUCUACGAAAAACCCACAGAACGGGUACGGUGCUUUUUCACCAUUUUCUCUUUUAACAGAACGUUUACGGUGGUUUUUCACCAUUUGUUGAAAGCAACUCUGUUCUCUUUCUAUUCACAACGCAUGGUAAUUUUUUUUUUAAACCAUGUAAAGGAAAAAACCAGCUAACGACUUUUAGCGAAAAAUCAACGCAAUUUUACAAGCGCACUAGGAAGUUGUACGAAGUGAAUAAUUCAGAAAAAAAACUUUAAAAAAGAAAUUAAUAAGGUUAAAAAUCACAAGGAGAAGUUU
This is a long non-coding RNA of Glossina fuscipes, 686 nucleotides long. RefSeq lists it as uncharacterized. The transcript has 3 exons. NCBI's taxonomy places the organism in Eukaryota, Metazoa, Arthropoda, Insecta, Diptera, Glossinidae. The record is from RefSeq and is a predicted model, not a curated record.